RNAcentral lists this ribosomal RNA (492 nucleotides) under uncultured bacterium. Its description in RNAcentral is "partial 16S ribosomal RNA". It matches the Rfam family "Bacterial small subunit ribosomal RNA", at positions 28 to 507 of the family's 1533-position model. The record is from RNAcentral.
GAUGAACGCUGGCGGCGUGCCUAACACAUGCAAGUCGAGCGAAAAGACGGGGAGCUUUUGCUCCUAAGGGUAGCGGGGGACGGGCGGGUAAGACGUGGAUCACAUACUUAUAAGUCUGGGAGGACAACGGGAAAAAGGAGAUAAUAAUGGCUCAUAUAACGUACGGGAGAGAGCAAUAGAGAAUGGCGGCUUGCGCGACUGUUUUAGCCGGUGUCGGAUUAGCUAGUUGGGGGGGUAACGGCACACCAAGGCGACGAUCCGUAGCCGGCCUGAGAGGAUGAUCAGCCACACUGGAACUGAGACACGGUCCAGACUCCUACGGGAGGCAGCAGUGGGGAAUCUUGGGCAAUGGGCGCAAGCCUGACGCAGCAAUGCCGCGUGAGUUAAGAAGGCCUUCGGAUCGUAAAGCUCUGUUGUUAGGAAAGAACAGCUGUAUGUGAAUCCAUGGACGUCUUGACGGUACCUAAACAAAAAGCACCGGCUAACUACGUG